AGAGCGAACGCUGGCGGCAUGCUUAACACAUGCAAGUCGCACGGUUGGGGGGCAACUUCCGGCAGUGGCGGACGGGUGAGUAACGCGUAGGGAUCUGUCCAUGGGUGGGGGACAACCUAGGGAAACCUGGGCUAAUACCGCAUAAUACCUACGGGUCAAAGCAGCAAUGCGCUGAAAGAGGGGGUCGCGGCCGAUUAGCUAGUUGGCGGGGUAAUGGCCCACCAAGGCAGUGAUCGGUAUCCGGCCUGAGAGGGCGCACGGACACACUGGAACUGAAACACGGUCCAGACUCCUACGGGCGGCAGC
Molecule: ribosomal RNA, 306 nt
Filed under: uncultured prokaryote
Description: bacterial SSU rRNA
Rfam family: Bacterial small subunit ribosomal RNA
Source: RNAcentral